UAUAUAUAUAUAUAUUGCCCUAUUGCACUGGUUUGGUCUUCAUUAAAUUCAAAUCUUAUAAUCGUAUACAGUAGUCAUCGUAGCUCAUAUAACCUAAUUUUCCCGAUGGAAUUAAAUUUAAACCCGUAAUUAUUGCGAAGGAAGUAAAAAUAGAAAUUUGUCACAGUGAGUUAAAUAUACGCCAUUAUUAUAUUAAGUCUGCAUUAAAACAUUUUUUGGGAGUUGUUUGUUGGAUUUUUUAUAAAUUUUGAGCAUUGUGCAUGUAAUUGUUUCGUACAUUUUUUCAAUAAAGUUCAAUAACAGUUAUCUAUUUUGGUGCCAGAAAAAACACAUACUGAAUGUUUUCAUUGGUGUUAAUAUUUUCACUCGGUGAAAGAUGAUCGCCUCGUGGAACAGAAAAUUCCAUCUUUCACUUCAUGAAUAUACAUACUUUCAUCAUCAUGUACUUGGUACUUACUACUCAUAUAAAACAUUAUUCGUAUACGUAUAUAUUUACAACCUAUGAAGAUUCCAGAGGACUGUAUGUUGAUAGUUUUGACGAAUUAUAAGUUUUGAAGUUUAUUUUUCAGUGUGAAGCUCCUAACGUUAAGGUAGAGCGUUCAUGAUGUAAUAACUUUGUCACGUAUACGUGUUAGCGAUGUUACAAAGUUCAGUUGAAAAUUUUCCCACAAAACCGCAAGUUUAUUUCCUGGCGGUGUUAUAAUUACAUGAAUAAUGAGAUGCGCAGAACGCACUAUUUGGCCUAUACCUGCAUCGGUAAGCCGUUAUAAAUCAUUCAUCGUAUUACAAUAAAUUUCUUGUCUUGUUAGUAUGUGUUAGUGAUGUGGCAAAGUUGAAGGCUUGCAUCACAAGUAUUUAUAUAGUCGUAUAAAAUGACUAUGUUGAUUGUUGAGCAGCCCUGUGUCUGUGAUCAUACAGGUUUUAUAGUGUAAACCUACUUUAAGCUGUAAAGCAAAUAGUGCAAACUUUAAACCUUCAUAUAUAGACCUAUGGCUACGGGAAACUUACUGUUUUCCAUUCAUGUUCAUGCUUAGUUUCACUACUGAGAAUCAAAGUUUCAUAAAUUCAUAAAAUAUACAUGUAUUUAUAUAGGUUAACUUGUUCAGGAAAGUCAAUAUUGUUAUCAAUAUCAUAUUUUUAUUAUAUAUUAUAUAAUAUAUAUAAAUUUAAAAAGAAAUAAAAUCCAUGGCCUUUAACUUCUUUAUAAAAAUUAUCAUUUCAUGAAGUUUAAAUAUUUACAUCGGUCAAUUGAAGACUAGUUUUAAAAUGGAGCAUCUUUCAGUUUUCAUGUCAUUUGGUUGGCUAUUAAGAAUUUUAUAAAAUGCACAUGUUUUCACUUUAGUCACUUUAAAUGAACAGCGGAUCUUAGCAAAACUAAGUUCUUUUAUUAUUCCCUCGAAUAUUCCAAUGUGAUCUUUCAAUUAUAUUUAUUACUUUAGAGUGCCAUUUUUGCGGAUGGAAUAUACAGCGUAUAUAUACAAUAAAUAAACAUAAUAUCUGCACAUUGUGUGCGCGUGCAUGACAUGUACAGAUUUUGGUACAGAUGGCCUAUCGGGUGUUCAUUCUUGAUGACACUGAUUAUAUACUACCAUAUAUUACUCUAAGUUUUGGCCAUCUUUCUCGAUAGUUUAGGUGUCUUAUGGGAGGAUAUUUCGAAGAAAAGAGUACCUAGAUAUUUAAGAUUUUAAAACCGAUUUCUAAAAACGUAUCUACAUUUCAAUGCUCGACCAACAUUUCAUGCACCAAGUAAAAAUCUUUAAAAUAUUACAUAUCGUAUUAUAUAAUCUUGUCAGUGUAGUUAGUGCCAAUAUUAACAAAACUUCAGUUGGUGGGGAUGCAACUACGUGAAAAAUACAAGGAGAAAUACGACGUUUCGAGCAAACGUCCCGACGCAGGGUUGAAAGGAUCUAAUUCGCUCGAAACGUCGAAUUUCUCCUUGUCAAUUUGUCAGGUAAUUGCAUCCCUAUAUAUCAACCGAAAUUUAGUUAUGCCGCAUUAUGCACUAUUCUGGAUAGAUUGUACGUGUAUAUAUA
Molecule: non-coding RNA, 2033 nt
Organism: Paramuricea clavata
Lineage: Eukaryota; Metazoa; Cnidaria; Anthozoa; Malacalcyonacea; Plexauridae
Source: the annotation of a GenBank genome assembly